GACGAUACAGUUCAGUGGUAGAGCGUGUGCUUAGCGUGCACGAGGUCCUGGGUUCAAUCCCCAGUACCCCCA
RNAcentral lists this transfer RNA (72 nucleotides) under Camelus bactrianus (Bactrian camel). It matches the Rfam family "tRNA". Rfam says of the family: Transfer RNA (tRNA) molecules are approximately 80 nucleotides in length. Their secondary structure includes four short double-helical elements and three loops (D, anti-codon, and T loops). Lineage: Eukaryota; Metazoa; Chordata; Mammalia; Artiodactyla; Camelidae. The record is from Rfam by way of RNAcentral. RNAcentral also lists the same sequence under 1 other name.